CCGGCCUUGAGGCCGCUGUGCGGACUCACGUUGAUGAUGGCGUCCGUCUGGAUGUAGUCCAUGUCCGAGUCCCGGAGGCCCAGCUCCCGGCCGUCCCGCUGGGCUGUGCUGACGAUGCCAGUGGUCACCGUGUUCUGCAGGGCGAAGGGGCUGCCGAUGGCCACCACGAACUCGCCGGGCCGCAGCAGCUCUUGAUAAAGCAGGAAAAAUGCUGUACACAGAAGUGAGGGUUAAGGAGGCGUUGAGCAGCUGUGCCCACGUGGGAGGCAUGGAGCCUCAACGCGCCACGUUCUGUGUUGCUGGGCAGUGAAGCCUCUGCAAGAGGCACACGAGGUCCCAGGGGUCCUCGGGCAGGGGGUGCAUACUAUGGCCCUCGGCCAAAUCCAGCCAGAUCCAGCAGCCUCUUCUGUAAACACAUCUUUCCCUGGACUGCAGCCCAGCCAUCUGUCUGGCCUGUGGCUGCCUUCCCAGGACGGUUCCCAGUGGAGAGGUUGCGACAGAGACCACGGGCCCUGCAAAGUCUGCAUCGUUCACUGUCCGCGCUUCACGGAAAACGUCUGCCAACCUCUGACCUUGAGUAUGGCCCUCCCGUCACCCCCAGUUUCCCCGUCUCCAACAUAGAGGUGGUGCCCUGGGCUCAGGAACAACUGUCACAGGGCUCCGAAAGUGGGCGAGGGUCUCCCUUAGGAUAAUUUCGUGGAGUCACUGAAUUCCCUCUCGCGUGACCAGGCGAGAGGAGGCCUCCUUGCAAGACACUGAUCAUCUCAAGUCCUGGCAACUUUUAUUCAGAAAGAGCAGAAGCUGGGUGCAAGCUCAACCAAGCUGGACUCACCAGCCCACAUGGGCCCCCCUCAACCGCCGCCGCCUCCAUGGACUUCAUGGCGUGGGCAGGGCACAGGUCAACCCAGGUGAGCCCACGGUGCCCCAUGGAGCUGGGACCAUGAAGCUGAACAGCAAGAAGCAUGCAGGAGGGAGUCACCCCUUCUGUGACCCCCAGGGGGACAGUGGCAUCUGCAGGAAUAGGCCCAGGAGGGACAAUGGAAGUGUCCCCAGCCUUGGAGACCCUCCACCCUCCAUGUGGGAGCGGCAUAUUUCCUUAGGGCCCUGCAGGGCGGUGUCCAGAUAUCGGGGUUGUAGUCUGACUAGACCCAAGACUAGGACGUGUUGCCAGUCCCCAGGGGCCUCGGUUCCUCUGAGUGUCUGACGGGAAAGUGGGGCUGAGAGGUCCCUGAGCCCCAGGGUCCAGGAAGGGCUCCCCCCCAACUCACCUUGGGGUGGAUCUUGAUGGUGGCGAUGUCCGACUUCUUGUCGAUGUCCUUGAUGGUGGCCUCGUAGGUGUCACCAUUCUGCAGCUGCACCUUGAGCUGCUGCCGGCCUGAGACAGUGUUGGUGCUGGACACCACGUGAGCGUUGGUGACGAUCAAGCCCGCUGCCGACAUGAUGAAGCCUGAGCCGCUGGACAGGGGCACGUUGCGGCCAA
Budorcas taxicolor (takin) is the source of this 1480-nucleotide long non-coding RNA. RefSeq lists it as uncharacterized. The record is from RefSeq and is a predicted model, not a curated record. Lineage: Eukaryota; Metazoa; Chordata; Mammalia; Artiodactyla; Bovidae. The transcript is spliced from 3 exons.